GUUCUGCUGAUGGUGAAGUCUGAAUUUGGGAUACCCUUCAACAUCGAACUGUGUCAUCUGCAUGGUUACAUAGUGCUGCACAUGGUAUUGUUGCUGUUGCUUGUGCUUCUUCCCUCGGAACCAAUAAAUUUGCCAGCCAGGGUAGGGAUGGAACUGUAAAAGUUUGGGAAUUUGA
Vigna angularis (adzuki bean) is the source of this 175-nucleotide long non-coding RNA. RefSeq lists it as uncharacterized. The record is from RefSeq and is a predicted model, not a curated record. NCBI's taxonomy places the organism in Eukaryota, Viridiplantae, Streptophyta, Magnoliopsida, Fabales, Fabaceae. The transcript has 3 exons.